Molecule: ribosomal RNA, 367 nt
Filed under: uncultured bacterium
Lineage: Bacteria
Description: bacterial SSU rRNA
Rfam family: Bacterial small subunit ribosomal RNA
Source: RNAcentral
AACGAACGCUGGCGGCAUGCCUAACACAUGCAAGUCGAACGAGACCUUCGGGUCUAGUGGCGCACGGGUGCGUAACGCGUGGGAAUCUGCCCUUAGGUUCGGAAUAACUUCGGGAAACUGAAGCUAAUACCGGAUGAUGACGUAAGUCCAAAGAUUUAUCGCCUAAGGAUGAGCCCGCGUUGGAUUAGCUAGUUGGUGAGGUAAAGGCUCACCAAGGCGACGAUCCAUAGCUGGUCUGAGAGGAUGAUCAGCCACACUGGGACUGAGACACGGCCCAGACUCCUACGGGAGGCAGCAGUGGGGGAAUAUUUGGACAAUGGGCGAAAGACCUGGAUCCAGCAAUGCCGCGUGAGUGAUGAAGGCCUUA